RNAcentral lists this long non-coding RNA (768 nucleotides) under Rattus norvegicus (Norway rat). Its description in RNAcentral is "long non-coding RNA NONRATT001550". Lineage: Eukaryota; Metazoa; Chordata; Mammalia; Rodentia; Muridae. The record is from RNAcentral.
GAACCGGGAGCAUGAGAGACACCGGGAUAGAGAACGGGACCGGCACCACUGAGAAAGGAGAGGGCCCCAGCUCUGGGGUUUGAGGCUGAUGAGCCAACUGAAGUGAUGGAUCUUUGACUUCUGUAUGCAUUCAGACACUACUGCCAGCCAACACCAGUUCCCUUGAUGUACCAGUUAUCCUGUGCAUCUCAUUCUGAGUCUGGGUGGAAGCAAAUUGUUUUUAAUGGACUUGCAUCUCCUCACCUUGAUCAGGACUAAAGGACGGAGGCCGCUCCACCCCUUCCCCUUCUUCCAAACCCCUAACUUCCUCCAGGCAAAACCCUCUGCCCUGCAGGAUUGAAGAUGGCUUGGCAGCCCUCCCAAUCCCACACCUUCUGUUUGCCAUGGGGGAAGAACCUAAAGACUUGCUGGGGUAGUGAACGAGGGCAUACAGGAAGACAGCAACAUGUCCAGCCCAUAGUCUCCAUAGAGAAUGGUGCUUUGUCCAAGGAAACCUGAGUUUCUGAUUGCCCAGAAGCAGUCAGUGGUGAGGUUACUAUGAGAAAAUUUCCUUCCCAGAGAAAAUGGAUCCUCUAUGUGGGGUCUUAGGAAAGUGACUGGGUGUGCCAAAAAUGCCCAGGGUUCUGCCCUCAGUACUAGAUUUGAUGGGGCCAAAAGGGUCCAAACCCUGCUAACAUACCACUUUGUUCAACUCCUGUACUUUCCUAGCCAGUUGAGGAGGGACCAUGAGAACAGAAACUACCUUGUGACAAGAAACGUGUUCUCAGU